UGCACACCAAGCGUGCAUUCUGCAAAACCUGAGGCCAACAGGAAGCUGCCUGCAGCAUCAGGUAGCUUUUCUGAGUUGAAAAGGAGUCUUGUGUACACAUUCAGAGAAAUGCCAGCAGAAGAUGUAGUCAUUCGGAAAGAAACAAGUCUGGAAGAAAAUGCACCGCAGACCAGCACCGAGAGGUUAAUUACUGACUGUGGUGGAAAGAAAGGAGCAGAGUCACAUUUGGUGGCUUCAGUAGCAUUCAGAGUGCAGAAAGGAGCACCAUCAAGUCUUGCACCACCCUUGGACACCAAGUUCCCCUGUCAACUACCAUGGUAAGUACCUUCCUUUUGAUCCUUUAAAGCCAGCAGAGUGCAUCCAA
Molecule: long non-coding RNA, 364 nt
Filed under: Cavia porcellus (domestic guinea pig)
Lineage: Eukaryota; Metazoa; Chordata; Mammalia; Rodentia; Caviidae
Description: lncRNA (ENSCPOG00000039812.1)
Source: RNAcentral